CUACGGGGCGCAGCAGUGGGGAAUCUUAGACAAUGGGCGCAAGCCUGAUCUAGCCAUGCCGCGUGAGUGACGAAGGCCUUAGGGUCGUAAAGCUCUUUCGCUGGAGAAGAUAAUGACGGUAUCCAGUAAAGAAACCCCGGCUAACUCCGUGCCAGCAGCCGCGGUAAUACGGAGGGGGUUAGCGUUGUUCGGAAUUACUGGGCGUAAAGCGCGCGUAGGCGGACCAGAAAGUUGGGGGUGAAAUCCCGGGGCUCAACCUCGGAACUGCCUCCAAAACUCCUGGUCUUGAGUUCGAGAGAGGUGAGUGGAAUUCCGAGUGUAGAGGUGAAAUUCGUAGAUAUUCGGAGGAACACCAGUGGCGAAGGCGGCUCACUGGCUCGAUACUGACGCUGAGGUGCGAAAGCGUGGGGAGCAAACAGGAUUAGAUACCCUUGUAGUC
RNAcentral lists this ribosomal RNA (439 nucleotides) under uncultured bacterium. Its description in RNAcentral is "partial 16S ribosomal RNA". It matches the Rfam family "Bacterial small subunit ribosomal RNA", at positions 339 to 795 of the family's 1533-position model. The record is from RNAcentral.